AGCUUUGCGCAGUGGCGAUAUCGUAACCAAUGAGGUUCAACCGAGGUGCGAUUAUUGCUAGUUGAAAAAAAAUAAAUAAAUAUUUAACAUGAGGCUAGUUUAUGUAAGGCGUAAAAAUAACACAAACGUUAGACGC
Armigeres subalbatus is the source of this 136-nucleotide small nuclear RNA. RefSeq annotates it as U4 spliceosomal RNA. The transcript has a single exon. The record is from RefSeq and is a predicted model, not a curated record. NCBI's taxonomy places the organism in Eukaryota, Metazoa, Arthropoda, Insecta, Diptera, Culicidae.